This 61-nucleotide transfer RNA is filed under the name Syllis sp. JYC-2022. Its description in RNAcentral is "tRNA-Phe". Lineage: Eukaryota; Metazoa; Annelida; Polychaeta; Phyllodocida; Syllidae. The record is from RNAcentral.
UAUCAGAUAGUUUAAAAUAAAACUUAAUGCUGAAGAUAUUAGAUUGGCUUGCCUCUGAUUU